CAGGGCCUCACUGUGUAGCUCAAGCUGGCCUUGAACUCACUAUGUAGCCUAGGUGGGCCCUGAACUCAUGGUAAUCUUCCUGCUUCAGCCUCCCAAGUCCUGGGAUUACAGGUGUCCACCACUGCACCCAGAGGAAUAUCUUUUUUGAGGCAAAGACCUUCAUUGUCACAGUGGGCUCCCACAGAUUGAGAUGAAAUUUAGGUGCAAUGAGGCCAAUGACACCAUUAGAUCACAUCAUUUGCAGUAUUUCCAUUGAGGUAUUUACCACAUUACUGAUAAAGCAACUGAGCCUAGGACAAGGAAGAUAAACCAGCUCAAAAUCACAGAGCAGGAAAUGUGGGCAUGGACAUACACAGAAGGAAGAUAGUGUGAAGACACAGCAGAAUGCAGACAUCUGCCAGCCUGGGGGAGAGGCCUCAGAAGAAACUGAACUGGCCAACAAACUUGAUUUUGGACUUCCAGCCUCCACACUUGUGAGAAAAUACAUUUCUGUUAUUUAAGCCAUCCAGUCUGUGGUACUUUGUU
RNAcentral lists this long non-coding RNA (525 nucleotides) under Heterocephalus glaber (naked mole-rat). RNAcentral's name for it is "lncRNA (ENSHGLG00100041036.1)". The record is from RNAcentral. Lineage: Eukaryota; Metazoa; Chordata; Mammalia; Rodentia; Bathyergidae.